AUAAAAAACUAAGAGCACACCUAAGUGGUCUGCUAGUUGCCGAGGUCACGAGCUGCGACCGCGGCAGACCUAAUAAAAAGGAGGUUCCCCGGCCCUUUUAACUGAGUGCCGUCUCCGCAACGCGUUGCCACGCCACGACUCGAUUCAGUUCGAGUACAACUGGCGUCUAAUUCUGGGAUCGAUCGCGGUAACAACAGGCGGAAUAAUGAGCUAGCUGCCACCAGAGGCUAAAGUUGCUCUCCUCCUCCUUCUGCUGUGCGUAGGCACACGUUCUCCUAGUCUAAUAAGGGGACGGGGCCAACGAUAGGAGAACGUGUAGGAAAAGCCGUGAAGCCCAAACGUCCUAUGUCUCCUGAGACACGCCUAUACCCGCUACGCCCACUUUAAGUAGAAGUCUAACGUCCAGGGAGAGCGGGAGGUAGAACUUAAGAACUAUGACCUUGAAAGAACACCAACAUCCGGCGACCUAGGUAAACGGCCUGAUUAGCCGGCCGCUACGUCCAUGUGCUCCGCUUCUACUUCGAGCUCGGCAUCGACCGUUACCGUGCAGGGGCCGCGGUGGCAGCCACAGCCUCGCGCAUGUUACCACCCGCCACCACGAGCAGUUGUAGCACGAGCACGAACGGCCCGUCUCGCACCGCUUGGAGGAGCCGUCCUAGAUGAUGCUGGUCCCGCCGCCGUCGAACACCUACCGGUGCCACCAAGUCAGGACGCCGUGCGGCGAGCGGUAGGGCGACGAGGAGAUGAAGCCCGCGGCGGGUUUCCGGUGGCGCUGGCGCCACUGCGCCGGCGGCGAGGAGUUCUAGAGCCGGUAGAUGCGGCCGGACCCCCAGGAGGAGCGGCCGCUGUUGGACUACAUGAGGAUGCGCGACGAGAUGGACGGCGACAGCUGGAUGAGCGAGCAGACGCGCUGCGUCGAGAGGAAGUUGCGGCAGAAGAGGAUGAAGGAGUUGUUCGUCUUCAAGUGGCGCGAGUAGGAGUUGAGGCAGCACGACGAGUGGAAGAGGCGCCGCGAGCAGCCGCACUCGGUGCCGAGCCUGCCCUGGUUGUCGUCGCAGGGCGGCCCCUUCAAGGGCGACCCCAAGCGCGACUGCGACAGCCGCAGCCGCGAGAAGAGGGACUAGGACAGGGACUACGUCGACUGGAAGCUGUUCCACGAGUCCUCGCUGUGGAAGAUACUGCACUACCUCUACGUCAAGACCUCGUUGUGGCGGCGCCGGUAGCACAGCCACCGGCCCGACAAGUAGAGGCCGCUCACCUCGUGGGACGUGCCGCUCUACCUGCCCAUGUUCUUCCCGUCCCACCGGAUGCCCUACUGCGACCGCACCUGCCGGUAUAGCACCGUCGACUGGUGGUACCCGGACUACCCCGAGCAGCGCAGCCACAGCAGCGAGAAGUGGUUGCACUAGUCGUGGCACCCCAACGGCGACAGCGGGUAGUAGCGGCAGUAGAAGGAGCCGCUGGCCUACCUGCCUCACUUCCACGACCGGUACGAGCAACGGCAUACCCCGAAGAACAGGAUGUAGAUGGUCGUGAUGGAACUACUACGGUUCCACUUCUUCUAUGACCGACUCUCUAGUCGGCUUGUGGCCUGACAUUUUGAGCGAUGUCUCACUUGUCUUAAGCGGCCUUAAGCUCAACUGUGAGACGAGUGGUCUGACAUUUUGAUCGACACCUAUCCUGAAGGAUAUCCACGGUUGAGAUACUACUCGAAACGAUGGCAAAAUUGAGUGCUCCACGGCACCGUAGAAAAACAACCAAUACUAGCGUCCGAAGUGUAGCUUUAAGUCCCCGCACACACCCUCUAAUCCCCCCUAAAUACAUACAUACGGUAUCAAAACAUGACAUGUAGGCAUAGUUGUGCACACUAAAAAAAAUCUUAAAAACUUUGAAGUUUUACUCUAAAAAUUUAAAACUUUUAUUUCACGAGGUACUUCGAGCC
Molecule: ribosomal RNA, 1942 nt
Filed under: Triticum aestivum (bread wheat)
Lineage: Eukaryota; Viridiplantae; Streptophyta; Magnoliopsida; Poales; Poaceae
Description: partial small subunit ribosomal RNA
Source: RNAcentral